Molecule: non-coding RNA, 888 nt
Organism: Nicotiana tabacum (common tobacco)
Lineage: Eukaryota; Viridiplantae; Streptophyta; Magnoliopsida; Solanales; Solanaceae
Source: RefSeq, a predicted model, not a curated record
GGAAAAGACAUUACCUGUUGAAGGGUGGGCAGAUUACAUUUAUUGAUAGCAUCCUCAGUAGCAUACCUUGUUCGUCCAAUGGCAAGAUCUGGAGGAUGAGGUCAAGCACCACAUAAUAUGAGGUAAAAGAUCGAAAUUGUUUGCCAACUGUCAGAUUUUGGUUGGAAUGAGCAAUUGCAAGUGUAUUAGUAGAAGGGGUUGGGGGUUGGAAUGGCUUCCUUGAGAAUAUCCUGUUCUUAAGAGCUGAAUACUGGUCAAGUUGUUGGCUGGGACAUUUGCCUUUAAAUGAUACUGUCUGUUGUAUUUUGGCUGAAAACUGAGUUGCAUUGGCACCGGACGAAGAUACUCUAUAUCAGUUAUUUGCACAAACCGAGAACAAGGGGGCAUCAAAUCACCUCAGGCCCUCUGGUAAUUCUUAUCCCUGAAUUUUUAGCUUUAGAAGAACUACAAUCACCGAGAAAUGUAGCUUGUCAACAAGACCUACUGGGGGAUGCCUUUGUAGGAGGAAGGAUGAAUCUACUCGGACACUCUACCAAUGGACUUGUCUCUGGUGGUCCUCCUUGAGUUCAUGAUUUGAAUAGAAUCACUUGAAUCCAACUUUAACCCCCCAUACAUUCUCCAGUGAGAGAUAGAAGACUGGCAAACUUCUGCUUCCAUUUUAGGAAAUCAGAGUCGUCGUUCAGCCACUUGUUUCUUCACUUGUGAGACUGUCCGUGAUCUCUGCACAUGUUAUAUUCUCGUUUCAGCAUACCAUGUAACAAUCUUGAAACGCUUCGCACUUGUUCAGAGAAUGAUCUAUUAGUUAAUAUUUUGUGAUUAGCUCUACUUAACUAGUUUUGACAACGAUAUGAAAGUCUGAUAGUGUCUUGUCUUAGAUUGCUAGUAUUA